Molecule: ribosomal RNA, 274 nt
Filed under: uncultured bacterium
Lineage: Bacteria
Description: partial 16S ribosomal RNA
Rfam family: Bacterial small subunit ribosomal RNA
Source: RNAcentral
AUACGAAGGGGGCUAGCGUUGUUCGGAUUUACUGGGCGUAAAGCGCACGUAGGCGGAUUGACAAGUUAGGGGUGAAAUCCCGAGGCUCAACCUCGGAACUGCCUCUAAAACUGUCAAUCUCGAGACCGGAAGAGGUGAGUGGAACUCCUAGUGUAGAGGUGGAAUUCGUAGAUAUUAGGAAGAACACCAGUGGCGAAGGCGGCUCACUGGUCCGGUACUGACGCUGAGGUGCGAAAGCGUGGGGAGCAAACAGGAUUAGAUACCCCAGUAGUCC